GACGAACGGCUGGCGGCGUGGAUUAGGCAUGCAAGUCGAACGGUAUCAUCCUUCGGGGGUGAGAGAGUGGCGAACUGGUGAGUAACACGUAGGUUAUCUACCCUCAAGACGGGGACAACCCAGGGAAACUUGGGCUAAUACCGGAUGUGAGCAACUUUUAGUUGUUUGAAAGGUGGCGUAAGCUGUCGCUUGGGGAUGAGCCUGCGUCCUAUUAGUUAGUUGGUGAGGUAACGGCUCACCUAGGCAAUGAUAGGUAGGCGGCCUUAACGGGUGGUCGCCCACACUGGGAUUGAGAUACGGCCCAGACUCCUACGGGAGGCAGCAGUCGAGAAUAGUCUACAAUGGUCGGAAGACUGAUAGUGCGACGCCGCGUGAACGAUGAAUCCCUUCGGGGUGUAAAGUUCUUUUAUAUGUGAGCAGUGCUUCUUAUAUUAACAGUAUGGGGAGAGAGAUAUUAGCAUAUGAAUAAGCAACGGCUAACUCCGUG
This 487-nucleotide ribosomal RNA is filed under the name uncultured bacterium. RNAcentral describes it as "bacterial SSU rRNA". It matches the Rfam family "Bacterial small subunit ribosomal RNA", at positions 35 to 507 of the family's 1533-position model. The record is from RNAcentral.